GAGCGGAAUUCGUGAGACCCAGCACCCUUGCAAAUAUUGUGGCCAUCAGCAUGCAUUUUAAGGUUGCUGUUAGAGAAAAUGUGCACAAGGUGACAGCAUUUCUUCAUUCCCUCCUCUUGUACCCAUGGUAACAGCAGCCUCUGUGUUAUUCCCAAGUCUGGUUGUAAAUGAGAGUAAAAUGAGACACAGGUAGUCACCAAAAGUUUUGGUUGUUUACUCUUUGAUCUUUUU
Molecule: small RNA, 231 nt
Filed under: Bos taurus (domestic cattle)
Lineage: Eukaryota; Metazoa; Chordata; Mammalia; Artiodactyla; Bovidae
Source: RNAcentral